GACGAACCGAGCGAACGUUAUUCGGAAUCACUGGGCUUAAAGGGCGCGUAGGCGGGCGGCCAAGUCGAGGGUGAAAGCCCCCAGCUCAACUGGGGAAGUGCCUCCGAUACUGGCCGCCUCGAGGGAGGUAGGGGCGUGCGGAACUUCCGGUGGAGCGGUGAAAUGCGUAGAUAUCGGAAGGAACACCGGUGGCGAAAGCGGCGCGCUGGACCUCUUCUGACGCUGAGGCGCGAAAGCCAGGGGAGCGAACGGG
RNAcentral lists this ribosomal RNA (253 nucleotides) under uncultured bacterium. Its description in RNAcentral is "partial 16S ribosomal RNA". It matches the Rfam family "Bacterial small subunit ribosomal RNA", at positions 524 to 776 of the family's 1533-position model. The record is from RNAcentral.